RNAcentral lists this ribosomal RNA (327 nucleotides) under uncultured eukaryote. RNAcentral's name for it is "partial 18S ribosomal RNA". It matches the Rfam family "Eukaryotic small subunit ribosomal RNA", at positions 1470 to 1796 of the family's 1831-position model. The record is from RNAcentral.
CCCUUAGAUGUUCUGGGCUGCACGCGCGCUACACUGGUGCACUCAACAAGUUUACAACCUUGAUCGAUAGGUCUGGGUAAUCUUUUGAAUAUGCACCGUGCUAGGGAUAGAUUAUUGCAAUUAUUCAUCUUCAACGAGGAAUUCCUAGUAAACGCAAGUCAUCAGCUUGCAUUGAUUACGUCCCUGCCCUUUGUACACACCGCCCGUCGCACCUACCGAUUGAAUGGUCCGGUGAAAUUCUCGGACGCGGACUUGCGAUGUUAAUUCGGAGCUUGACUGUGAAAGUUAAUUAAACCUUACCAUUUAGAGGAAGGUGAAGUCGUANCA